GAUGAACGCUAGCGGCAGGCUUAAUACAUGCAAGUCGUGGGGCAGCAGGGUGUAGCAAUACAUUGCUGGCGACCGGCAAACGGGUGCGGAACACGUACACAACCUUCCUACAAGUGGGGCAUAGCCCAGAGAAAUUUGGAUUAAUACCCCGUAACAUAUAGAAAAGGCAUCUUUUUAUAUUAUAGCUUCGGCGCUUGUUGAUGGGUGUGCGGCUGAUUAGAUAGUUGGCGAGGUAACGGCUCACCAAGUCUACGAUCAGUAGCUGAUGUGAGAGCAUGAUCAGCCACACGGGCACUGAGACACGGGCCCG
This 310-nucleotide ribosomal RNA is filed under the name uncultured bacterium. RNAcentral describes it as "bacterial SSU rRNA". It matches the Rfam family "Bacterial small subunit ribosomal RNA", at positions 28 to 334 of the family's 1533-position model. The record is from RNAcentral.